AGCAGCCGCGGUAAUUCCAGCUCCAAUAGCGUAUAUUAAAGUUGUUGCAGUUAAAAAGCUCGUAGUUGAAUUUCCGGGCCCGGCCAGACGGUCUGCCGCAAGGUGUGUAUCGUCGGACGGGCUUGACCUUUUUCCGAAGACUGUGCGUGCUCUUCACUGAGUUGCGUACGGGACUCGGGACUUUUACUUUGAAAAAAU
This 198-nucleotide ribosomal RNA is filed under the name uncultured Glomus. RNAcentral's name for it is "partial 18S ribosomal RNA". It matches the Rfam family "Eukaryotic small subunit ribosomal RNA", at positions 569 to 766 of the family's 1831-position model. Lineage: Eukaryota; Fungi; Glomeromycota; Glomeromycetes; Glomerales; Glomeraceae. The record is from RNAcentral.